RNAcentral lists this ribosomal RNA (428 nucleotides) under uncultured bacterium. RNAcentral describes it as "partial 16S ribosomal RNA". It matches the Rfam family "Bacterial small subunit ribosomal RNA", at positions 354 to 796 of the family's 1533-position model. The record is from RNAcentral.
GUGGGGGAUAUUGCACAAUGGAGGAAACUCUGAUGCAGCGACGCCGCGUGAGGGAAGAAGGUCUUCGGAUUGUAAACCUCUGUCUUCAGGGACGAAACAAAUGACGGUACCUGAGGAGGAAGCCACGGCUAACUACGUGCCAGCAGCCGCGGUAAUACGUAGGUGGCAAGCGUUGUCCGGACUUACUGGGUGUAAAGGUAGCGCAGGCGGGGAAGCAAGUUGGGAGUGAAAUCUAUGGGCUUAACCCAUAAAUUGCUGUCUAAACUGUUUGUCUUGAGUAGUGCAGAGGUAGGCGGAAGUCCCGGUGUAGCGGUGGAAUGCGUAGAUAUCGGGAGGAACACCAGUGGCGAAGGCGGCCUACUGGGCACCAACUGACGCUGAGGCUCGAAAGUAUGGGUAGCAAACAGGAUUAGAUACCUGGGUAGUCC